This 414-nucleotide ribosomal RNA is filed under the name uncultured Funneliformis. RNAcentral describes it as "partial 28S ribosomal RNA". The record is from RNAcentral. Lineage: Eukaryota; Fungi; Glomeromycota; Glomeromycetes; Glomerales; Glomeraceae.
GAGAGUUAAACAGUACGUGAAAUUGUUGAAAGGGAAACGAUUGAAGUCAGUCAUACCAACGGGAAAUCAACCUCUUGAGUUUGGUCUCGUGGGUUUCGAAGAGUUUAAAAGCCUUCGGAUUUUCGAGAUUGGGUUCUUCUGGUGUACUUUCUCGUACGGUUAGUCAACAUCGGUUUUGAAUGUCAUAAAAUGACUGGAGGAAUGUGGCUUCGAUCUCGUAUUGAAGUGUUAUAGCUUUUGGUAGAUGUGAUGUUCGAGACCGAGGAUUGCAACGGAUACCCUUCUGGGCUAUUCGUCUGAUCUCUGAAACGUUGCCUUGAUGUCGAAAGCUUGCUUAUGAUGUUAGGGUAUUACGAUCAAAAGGUUAGAACGGAUUAAAUUCGUUAAGGAUGUUGACGUAAUGACUUUAAACGA